CACAGACUCACACACACACAGACUCACACACACAGACUCACACACACACAGACUCACACCACCUCACCGCUCCUCACCUUCGCCAGAUGCUCUCCCCGCCUCUCCAACGGACAAACUGCCAGGGGGAAGCGCGUGGCUCGAGACGAGGGGGCGGUACCAUGAGACCACGCCCACUGCGACGUAAACAGCCCUGAGCCCCUCCCCCCACCGGAGCUCCUCCCCCCCAUGGCCACACCCCCUCGCCCCACCCCUUUACCCCCCUCACCCCGCCCCCUCUCCCCGCCCCUCCCCCCGCUGCUUCUUCCGCUGAGGCCGGGGCGAGUGGAGGCGGCGCUGUGCAUUGUGGGUGGCGAGCGGCCGAUUUGGAUUCCCGCUCACGGCCACCGUCGGUGGCUCGCGAGCUUCUGAAGCGGCGGCUCGCUGGCUGGGCCACCUCUACGUCGACUCAGCCCGAAGAAGGCGAGAAGCUUGCACGCACAACAACACGAAGCAGGAAGAGGAAGGUUUGUCUCCCAAGCCGAGCGCUUCCGGGUCCACCUUCAAGAUCCUCCCUCUGCCCCGGCCCCCACACCCCCCUCGCCCCCUCGCCUUCCCCCGCAGCUACUUCCGCUGAGGCCGGGGCGAGUGGAGGCGGUGCUGUGGAUUGUGGGUGGCGAGAGGCUGAUUUGGAAUCCCUCUCACGGUCACCGUCGGUGGCUCACGAGCUUCUGAAGUGGCGGCUCGCUGGCUGGGCCUCCUCUACAUCGACUCAGCCAGAAGAAGGUGGUGCAGGUUCAGGAGUUUACUGGCUGUACUCCGACCUUUGGCCUUGGCUGUCGCCCAAGUGGGAUUGUCACACAGCAGUCAACCCAUAGCAUCAGUAUCUGUCCCAUGACCUCCUCUUGCACCUAGCCUGGCACAGCAGUCAACC
Non-coding RNA from Petromyzon marinus (sea lamprey), 910 nucleotides. The record is from RefSeq and is a predicted model, not a curated record. Lineage: Eukaryota; Metazoa; Chordata; Hyperoartia; Petromyzontiformes; Petromyzontidae.